Molecule: non-coding RNA, 29 nt
Filed under: Rattus norvegicus (Norway rat)
Lineage: Eukaryota; Metazoa; Chordata; Mammalia; Rodentia; Muridae
Source: RNAcentral
UCCUUUCGGNAGCUGUUUCUAAGAGCAGC